Molecule: transfer RNA, 72 nt
Filed under: Saccharopolyspora montiporae
Lineage: Bacteria; Bacillati; Actinomycetota; Actinomycetes; Pseudonocardiales; Pseudonocardiaceae
Also listed under: 1 other name
Description: Saccharopolyspora sp. HNM0983 tRNA
Rfam family: tRNA
About the family: Transfer RNA (tRNA) molecules are approximately 80 nucleotides in length. Their secondary structure includes four short double-helical elements and three loops (D, anti-codon, and T loops). Further hydrogen bonds mediate the characteristic L-shaped molecular structure. tRNAs have two regions of fundamental functional importance: the anti-codon, which is responsible for specific mRNA codon recognition, and the 3' end, to which the tRNAs corresponding amino acid is attached (by aminoacyl-tRNA synthetases). tRNAs cope with the degeneracy of the genetic code in two manners: having more than one tRNA (with a specific anti-codon) for a particular amino acid; and 'wobble' base-pairing, i.e. permitting non-standard base-pairing at the 3rd anti-codon position.
Source: Rfam by way of RNAcentral
GCGCCAAUAGCUCAAUGGCAGAGCAACUGACUCUUAAUCAGUGGGUUCGGGGUUCGAGUCCCUGUUGGCGCA